CAUUUAAAAGCUCCCAUUUGUGGCAAACAGGCUGAGGUAUUUUAUUUUUUUCUGUCUGUGCAGAAGAAAUGCAAAUUAGACAUGCAAAAGCUAAUCGCUUCAUUAUAAUUAUUUUUUGUGAGCUGUAACCCAUAAAGAAAGAAUGUUCACCGGCAGGAAAAAAACACCAAGAAACAUUUUUUGCCAACUUCUCAUUUUUGGGGCUGCUCCUGCUAAGCAAGCAGGUUGUCUUGGGGUCUGACUGAAGAUGAGGUUGUCUGUGCUGGGCAGAUCAGCAGACCAUUCUCAGGAAAUUCCACCUGGCCCCAAUGACAUUACUUCAGGUUCUGGGAACAAUGAUGCCACUUCCAUUUCUAACCCCGAUGACAUCACUUCCGUUAAUGGGCCUGAUGAUGCCACUUUCCACUCCAGCCCUGAUGAUGCCACUUCUGGUUCCGGCCCCGAUGAUGUAAAUUCCUCUGUCUCUCCUUAAAUACCACCAUUUUCUACCUGUGCAUCAGUUCUGUUUUUGAACUCCAUAAUACCAGUUACUUUUCUGUGUUUCAAUGACCUGCAAUAUACGGAGCGGUGGCUACCCCAAACCUUUUUGUGGCUCCUUGGUAUUCUUGUUGUGACAAGGGUUAGGCUAUCCUGCAGGAGUAUGAACAACACAUGUAACAUUUACUGGCUGCUAAAAUCUAUUGACCUGGAGUUUUUAUCGUACUGUUUAUUCAUUGCUUUAACUUUUGGAGAGAUUCCUAAUUAAGCCAUGAUUAUCCUCACUACUAUAUUGUUUUCCAACUGGCCUUUCAUCCAUGAUGCCAUAUAAGACAAUACCAUUUGAGCAUGGGCUAUGACAGCCUUUACACCAUUUACUUUCUACGUGGGUUUAGGGUAAAAAUGGGCCAGAGCCUAUUCCAGAAACACUGGGCAUUAGUCAAGAACCUGACUUGGUAUACUGACUGUAAAAAAGGGCAGUCAGACCAAAAAAUUAAAGAGUCAAGAUCAGGAAAAAGAACAGAGUGAAACGGCAAAUCGAUGGUCAAAACCAAAAGUCAAAAAUGAAAGAAGCUUGGAAGCCAAAUACUGAAUCAAAAAUCAAAUUCAAAAGGGAGAACUUACUCCACAGAAGCACAUUGUCACACAAAAGAUUGAGAAGGAAAUGGACGUGUAAUCCCAUGCACAUUGUGCACUUUAAAAAAAAAAAAAAUCAAAAAAAGUCACAUACUCCUAAGUUAACUGAACUGUCAAUCAGAUCAAAGUUUUGUCACAUCCUGUUGGCAACUGAAUGUAACCAAUCAUGUUAAAAGUUUUCUUAUUAUGCAAUGGAUUCCUUGGAACUGUGAUCUACUCAAUGAAGUACAUAAAUAGAGCGCAAUGCCGACUCCUCCUUUGUAAUACUUGGUAAUAAGCUGUUUGUACUCCUGUAAGGGUUACCUUUUGCAAGGCAUACAUAAUAAAGUAGACUGAUUGAU
Long non-coding RNA from Polypterus senegalus (gray bichir), 1454 nucleotides. RefSeq lists it as uncharacterized. The transcript has 3 exons. The record is from RefSeq and is a predicted model, not a curated record. NCBI's taxonomy places the organism in Eukaryota, Metazoa, Chordata, Cladistia, Polypteriformes, Polypteridae.